AAUCGUAUAUUCAUCGAGAUGUUCAUGCUGAUGUGUUGAAGACGUUUUGUCGGUUUUGAGCGUAUUUACUCAACUAUUUUGGUACUUCUAAAUAUCAUGAACAACAACGGGCUCCCAUAAGGAAAUUUCAAGGCAAUUGGUUGUGGUAUUAUCUCAGAAAUAUCUUGAGAAGCCAAAUGACGUAUUCUACUUUACUGCGAUCUCUUCAGCAAGCUGUGGUCAAAGAGAAUAUCAUUGCAAUGAUAGGUAAAGGCAGAAUUUGGAAGUGAAAUGUCAAAUGUGCAAGAACUAUUAGUCCAUGGUAUGGUUGGC
Molecule: long non-coding RNA, 312 nt
Filed under: Dendronephthya gigantea
Lineage: Eukaryota; Metazoa; Cnidaria; Anthozoa; Malacalcyonacea; Nephtheidae
Description: uncharacterized LOC114537093
Source: RNAcentral